UACCCCAUCGCCUCCUUCAGGAGGCCAUGGAGGUGGUGGUUACUAUCCCUCCCCUCCAUCUCAUAGUGGAAGCCCUCCAAGUACUCCUACACCUACACCUAGUACCCCCAGUACACCAUCCACCCCCUCCACACCUACUAUUGUCACCCCGCCUACACCUCCUACCAUUGACCCUGGCACUCCAAGCACUCCAGGGGGUGGUUACUAUGGUGGAAGUCCUCCAAGUAUUCCUACACCUAGUACCCCUAGUAUUACACCCACUACCCCUUCUACACCUAUCAUUGAAACACCACCAACUACUCCUGUCGUUGAAACACCACCAACUACUCCUACUAUUGAUCCAGGCACUCCAAGUGCUCCAGGAGUCUUUCCAAUUGACCCCAACUCACCACCUUUUACAUGCGAGUAAGUCAAGUGAAAAUUAUUUGCUGUUUCAUUUUAUAUUACAGUAUUUGACUAGACAUACAGUUUAAUAAAGAAAAAGAAUUUUUUAACGCAUACCUAAUGUACCUAAUGAGAACUUGUCCUAACAUGAAAUGUUAUGAAUUGCAGCUACUGGAGGACUCACCCAACACUAAUAUGGGGCAUACUCGGCUGGUGGGGAAGUGU
RNAcentral lists this long non-coding RNA (609 nucleotides) under Nicotiana tabacum (common tobacco). RNAcentral describes it as "long non-coding RNA (NTAB_LNC000693)". The record is from RNAcentral. Lineage: Eukaryota; Viridiplantae; Streptophyta; Magnoliopsida; Solanales; Solanaceae.